UACGGAGGGGACUAGCGUUGUUCGGAAUUACUGGGCGUAAAGGGCGCGUAGGCGGCUCGGUAAGGUUGCGGUGAAAGCCCGGGGCUCAACCCCGGGUCGGCCGUGGCAACUGCUGGGCUCGAGCACUGUAGAGGCAGGUGGAAUUCCGGGUGUAGCGGUGGAAUGCGUAGAGAUCCGGAAGAACACCGGUGGCGAAGGCGGCCUGCUGGGCAGUGACUGUAAUGGUCAAUAGCUGACGCUGAGGCGCGACAGCGUGGGGAGCAAACAGG
Molecule: ribosomal RNA, 269 nt
Filed under: uncultured bacterium
Lineage: Bacteria
Description: partial 16S ribosomal RNA
Rfam family: Bacterial small subunit ribosomal RNA
Source: RNAcentral